CCUACGGGAGGCAGCAGUGGGGAAUAUUGCACAAUGGGGGAAACCCUGAUGCAGCGACGCCGCGUGAGUGAAGAAGUAAUUCGUUAUGUAAAGCUCUAUCAGCAGGGAAGAAAAUGACGGUACCUGAGUAAGAAGCCCCGGCUAACUACGUGCCAGCCGCGGGAAUACGUAGGGGGCGAGCGUUAUCCGGAUUUACUGGGUGUAAAGGGAGCGUAGACGGGAGUGCAAGUAUGGGGUGAAAGGCGGGGGCGCAACCCCCGGACUGCUCUGGAAACUGUACGGCUGGAGUGCAGGAGAGGUAAGUGGAAUUCCUAGUGUAGCGGUGAAAUGCGUAGAUAUUAGGAGGAACACCAGUGGCGAAGGCGGCUUACUGGACUGUAACUGACGUUGAGGCUCGAAAGCGUGGGGAGCAAACAGGAUUAGAUACCCCAGUAGUC
RNAcentral lists this ribosomal RNA (437 nucleotides) under uncultured bacterium. Its description in RNAcentral is "partial 16S ribosomal RNA". It matches the Rfam family "Bacterial small subunit ribosomal RNA", at positions 338 to 795 of the family's 1533-position model. The record is from RNAcentral.